UUCCAAUCGGUUGAGCUCGGAUCAGGUAGGGAUACCCGCUGAACUUAAGCAUAUCAAUAAGCGGAGGAAAAGAAACCAACAGGGAUUGCCUCAGUAACGGCGAGUGAAGCGGCAACAGCUCAAAUUUUAAAGCUGGCGUCUUCGGCGCCCGCGUUGUAAUUUGGAGAGGCAUCUUCGGUUUGGGCGCCAGCCUAUGUUCCUUGGAACAGGACGUCACAGAGGGUGAGAAUCCCGUGCUUGGCUGGCUGUCCCUUGCCAUGUGAAGUGCCUUCGACGAGUCGAGUUGUUUGGGAAUGCAGCUCAAAAUGGGUGGUAAAUUCCAUCUAAAGCUAAAUAUUGGCGGGAGACCGAUAGCGCACAAGUAGAGUGAUCGAAAGAUGAAAAGCACUUUGAAAAUAGAGUUAAAAAGUACGUGAAAUUGUUGAAAGGGAAGCGCUUGAGACCAGACUCGGCCGGAGAUGAUCAGCCGUCCUUCUGGGCGGUGCACUUGUCUCCGGUCGGGCCAGCAUCGGUUGAGACGGCGGGAUAAAGGCCCGGGGAAUGUGGCUCCUUUCGGGGAGUGUUAUAGCCCUGGGCGCAAUGCCGCCAGC
RNAcentral lists this ribosomal RNA (590 nucleotides) under fungal sp. ARIZ AZ0371. Its description in RNAcentral is "LSU rRNA". It matches the Rfam family "Eukaryotic large subunit ribosomal RNA", at positions 1 to 583 of the family's 3401-position model. The record is from RNAcentral. Lineage: Eukaryota; Fungi.